GACAGAGGGUGCAAACGUUGUUCGGAAUUACUGGGCGUAAAGCGUGUGUAGGCGGCUAGGUAAGUCGGAUGUGAAAGCCCCGGGCUCAACUCGGGAAGUGCACUCGAUACUGCUUAGCUCGAGUACCGGAGAGGUUGGUGGAAUUCUCGGUGUAGAGGUGAAAUUCGUAGAUAUCGAGAGGAACACCUGUGGCGAAGGCGGCCAACUGGACGAGUACUGACACUGAGACACGAAAGCGUGGGGAGCAAACAGG
RNAcentral lists this ribosomal RNA (253 nucleotides) under uncultured bacterium. Its description in RNAcentral is "partial 16S ribosomal RNA". It matches the Rfam family "Bacterial small subunit ribosomal RNA", at positions 524 to 776 of the family's 1533-position model. The record is from RNAcentral.